CCUACGGGAGGCAGCAGUGAGGAAUAUUGGUCAAUGGACGUAAGCCUGAACCAGCCAAGCCGCGUGCAGGAUGAAGGUUCUAUGGAUCGUAAACCUCUUUUAUAAGGGGAUAAAGUUCGGGACGUGUCCCCAUUUGUAUGUACCUUAUGAAUAAGGAUCGGCUAACUCCGUGCCAGCAGCCGCGGUAAUACGGAGGAUCCGAGCGUUAUCCGGAUUUAUUGGGUUUAAAGGGUGCGUAGGCGGCCUUUUAAGUUAGCGGUGAAAGUCUGUGGCUCAACCAGGGAAUUGCCGUUGAUACUGUGAGGCUUGAGAAUGUGUGCGGUAGGCGGAAUGUGUGGUGUAGCGGUGAAAUGCUUAGAGAGCACGCAGAACCCCGAUUGCGAAGGCAGCCUGCCAAGCCAUGACUGACGUUGAGGCACGAAAGCGUGGGGAGCAAACAGGAUUAGAUACCCUUGUAGUC
Molecule: ribosomal RNA, 460 nt
Filed under: uncultured bacterium
Lineage: Bacteria
Description: partial 16S ribosomal RNA
Rfam family: Bacterial small subunit ribosomal RNA
Source: RNAcentral